GGAGAGGUGUCCGAGUGGUUUAUGGUCCUGGUCUUGAAAACCAGCGUAACGAAAGUUACCGGGGGUUCGAAUCCCCCCUUCUCCG
Molecule: transfer RNA, 85 nt
Filed under: Eutreptiella pomquetensis
Lineage: Eukaryota; Euglenozoa; Euglenophyceae; Eutreptiales; Eutreptiaceae
Also listed under: 1 other name
Description: tRNA-Ser
Rfam family: tRNA
About the family: Transfer RNA (tRNA) molecules are approximately 80 nucleotides in length. Their secondary structure includes four short double-helical elements and three loops (D, anti-codon, and T loops).
Source: RNAcentral